AACGAACGCUGGCGGCGUGGAUAAGGCAUGCAAGUCGAGGGACGAAGUGAGAUCAAGUCUUCGGAUGAGAUCUCAUGGAAACCGGCAAACUGGUGAGUAACAUGUGGGAAAUCUGCCCCAGAGUGGGGACAACUUCGGGAAACCGAAGCUAAUACCGCAUACGUCUGUUGUGCCCAGGCACGGCAGGCAAAGGUGUCCGCAAGGAUGCCGCUCUAGGAUGAUCCCGCACCCCUAUCAGCUAGUUGGUGAGGUAAUGGCUCACCAAGGCUACGACGGGUAGGCGGCCUGAGAGGGUGGUCGCCCACGCCGGGACUGAGAUACGGCCCGGACUCCUACGGGAGGCAGCAGUCUAGAAGCUUCGGCAAUGGGGGAAAACCCUGACCGAGCGACGCCGCGUGUGGGAUGAAGCAUUUCGGUGUGUAAACCACUGUCAGAAGGGAAGAAGGCCUUGAAAAGCGAUAGCCUUUCAGGGAGAGACGGUACCUUCAGAGGAAGCCCCGGCUAANUCCGUGCCAGCAGCCGCGGUAAUACGGAGGGGGCGAGCGUUUGUUCGGAAUUUAUUGGGCUAAAGGGCGCGUAGGCGGCCUGGUUAGUCUAGCGUGAAACUCUUCACCGCUCAACGGGAAGACGGCGCUGGAUACUGCUGGGCUAGAGUGCGAGAGAGGUUGGUGGAAUUCCUGGUGUAGCGGUGGAAUGCGUAGAUAUCAGGAGGAACACCGGUGGCGAGGGCGGCCAACUGGCUCGUAACUGACGCUGAGGCGCGAAAGCGCGGGUAGC
RNAcentral lists this ribosomal RNA (777 nucleotides) under uncultured bacterium. RNAcentral's name for it is "bacterial SSU rRNA". It matches the Rfam family "Bacterial small subunit ribosomal RNA", at positions 28 to 769 of the family's 1533-position model. The record is from RNAcentral.